UCGACUUGGAGGUUGUGCCCUUGAGGUGUGGCUUCCGGAGCUAACGCGUUAAGUCGACCGCCUGGGGAGUACGGCCGCAAGGUUAAAACUCAAAUGAAUUGACGGGGGCCCGCACAAGCGGUGGAGCAUGUGGUUUAAUUCGAUGCAACGCGAAGAACCUUACCUGGUCUUGACAUCCACGGAAGUUUUCAGAGAUGAGAAUGUGCCUUCGGGAACCGUGAGACAGGUGCUGCAUGGCUGUCGUCAGCUCGUGUUGUGAAAUGUUGGGUUAAGUCCCGCAACGAGCGCAACCCUUAUCCUUUGUUGCCAGCGGUCCGGCCGGGAACUCAAAGGAGACUGCCAGUGAUAAACUGGAGGAAGGUGGGGAUGACGUCAAGUCAUCAUGGCCCUUACGACCAGGGCUACACACGUGCUACAAUGGCGCAUACAAAGAGAAGCGACCUCGCGAGAGCAAGCGGACCUCAUAAAGUGCGUCGUAGUCCGGAUUGGAGUCUGCAACUCGACUCCAUGAAGUCGGAAUCGCUAGUAAUCGUGGAUCAGAAUGCCACGGUGAAUACGUUCCCGGGCCUUGUACACACC
RNAcentral lists this ribosomal RNA (579 nucleotides) under Shigella flexneri. RNAcentral's name for it is "bacterial SSU rRNA". It matches the Rfam family "Bacterial small subunit ribosomal RNA", at positions 812 to 1391 of the family's 1533-position model. Lineage: Bacteria; Pseudomonadati; Pseudomonadota; Gammaproteobacteria; Enterobacterales; Enterobacteriaceae. The record is from RNAcentral.